RNAcentral lists this ribosomal RNA (440 nucleotides) under uncultured bacterium. RNAcentral's name for it is "partial 16S ribosomal RNA". It matches the Rfam family "Bacterial small subunit ribosomal RNA", at positions 338 to 795 of the family's 1533-position model. The record is from RNAcentral.
CCUACGGGUGACUGCAGUGGGGAAUAUUGCACAAUGGGGGAAACCCUGAUGCAGCGACGCCGCGUGAGUGAAGAAGUAUUUCGGUACGUAAAGCUCUAUCAGCAGGGAAGAAAAUGAUGGUACCUGACUAAGAAGCCCCGGCUAACUACGUGCCAGCAGCCGCGGUAAUACGUAGGGGGCAAGCGUUAUCCGGAUUUACUGGGUGUAAAGGGAGCGUAGACGGCAGCGCAAGUCUGGAGUGAAAUCCCAUGGCUUAACCAUGGAACUGCUUUGGAAACUGUGCAGCUAGAGUGCAGGAGAGGUAAGCGGAAUUCCUAGUGUAGCGGUGAAAUGCGUAGAUAUUAGGAGGAACACCAGUGGCGAAGGCGGCUUACUGGACUGUAACUGACGUUGAGGCUCGAAAGCGUGGGGAGCAAACAGGAUUAGAUACCCCAGUAGUC